UCAUCCUUUACAGAAAGGAAAACGUUCCUGGAAGACUGGGGUAAUGCCCCGAGUUCUCAGAAAACAGCUAAAGAAGCAGAAUUGAACCUGCUAAAGAAGAAAUUGGAUAUGGUGGUGGAGUUCUCUGAAAAACAAAAACUGACUGCAGAAGAGAAGCUAGAAGAGACACUGUAUGAAUUGAAUGCAACUAAGAAUGAGCUGUUAGCUGCUGAUAAAUAUCUGAAAGUAACUGAAGAAGAAAUGGGGAAGUACAGGUAAGUUCAGACACUACAUACUAUUGGCUCUUGAAAAGUUCCCUUUGGAUUAUUUUA
RNAcentral lists this long non-coding RNA (311 nucleotides) under Mustela putorius furo (domestic ferret). RNAcentral's name for it is "lncRNA (ENSMPUG00000031528.1)". The record is from RNAcentral. Lineage: Eukaryota; Metazoa; Chordata; Mammalia; Carnivora; Mustelidae.